UUUAAAAAGUGCGUAAUAGCUUACUGGUCGAGCAGUUUUGCGCCGAAAAUGAACGGGACUCAAGCAUAUUACCGAAACAGCGGAUUUCCAGGACAAGGGUGCCUGGGAGUGGUAGGGGAGCGUUGUAUUCUAGGUCGAAGCGGUACCGCAAGGAGCCGUGGACGAAAUACAAGUGAGAAUGCCGGGACGAGUAGCGAUAAAGUAAGUGAGAAUCUUACUCGCCGUAAGCCUAAGGUUUCCUG
RNAcentral lists this ribosomal RNA (242 nucleotides) under Madagascaria erythrocladioides. RNAcentral describes it as "partial Bacterial large subunit ribosomal RNA". It matches the Rfam family "Bacterial large subunit ribosomal RNA", at positions 1122 to 1357 of the family's 2925-position model. The record is from RNAcentral. Lineage: Eukaryota; Rhodophyta; Compsopogonophyceae; Erythropeltidales; Erythrotrichiaceae.